AUUAACCUAAAUUAACACCCACCAGCCCACAGAGACAGCAAGCAGAACAAAACCAGGAAGCUUUCCUGUUUAGAUUUUAGAGCUUAUACUACCAUGUGAUGUAAAUUUCUAUCACUUGAUCCCUCUGGAAGGGUUGAGCUUUUAUGUUUUAGAAUCAUUGUCAAGAUUACCCUCAUAAUCCAGAAAGAAGAAAUGCGUUUGCUUGAUUGUGCUUAUUUUCCAUAAGUAAUAGACAAUCACACAAAUAGAUAAAUGUUUCUCACAUUUUUUAAAUUUCUGCAAGAAAGAAAACUCCAAUCUCAUCUUGAAAUUCUUAUAUCUUCCUCCAGUUGGGUUUUUCAGUGGGCAGAAUUGACAACCGAAGAACGCUUGCAAAGAACUGUUACUCUACUUAUCCAACUUGAAAGACAUGAGCACUGAUGGAUCUACUCGCAUCCUUUUCAGUGAAGUGGAAAUAGUGAUUGCAAACAUCUGGGCAUGUAGAGCAUCUCUUUCCUAAGCAUUUGAUUCUUGAGAAAGUAUAAGAGAGACACCUACUGGAGAGAACAAGAUGUAUCUUGUUAUCAGAUGAAUUUUCAGUUUCAGGGAAAUAAAACAACUAUGUGUCUACUGCCCUAAGAUUUUAUACCAUAUACUUUAGAGAUGAACAUGUUACCAUAGUUAUGAAGAUUUAUUUAUGGAAAUAUGUGAACAUCGCAUAGUCAAUUGUCAUGGGAAGGCUAAGUUUGAUUCAAAACAUAAAUCAGAAACCACUUAGGUAAAUCAAACAAGUAUUGCUUAUCUAAAUGAUAUAGAAGAGACGCCAGCUAGGACAUACAGCUCCAACUGAACAGUUCCCAGAAGAGAAUAAGGUAUAAGUUUUAGGUCCCGCUCCCCGACUACUUGGAGUAGCUGUGGCUGAAUAGUUCUGAGAGAUUAAACGUCACAUAAACCUGGAAGCUCAGUUGCACCAAUGCCACAACAAGUCCUGCUUUAUAUAAAUAAACUUGGAAUAAUUCUUCGUAUAGGCUGGCCUGGAUAUGUG
This 1024-nucleotide long non-coding RNA is filed under the name Equus asinus (donkey). Its description in RNAcentral is "lncRNA (ENSEASG00005035747.1)". The record is from RNAcentral. Lineage: Eukaryota; Metazoa; Chordata; Mammalia; Perissodactyla; Equidae.